Spinacia oleracea (spinach) is the source of this 175-nucleotide long non-coding RNA. RefSeq lists it as uncharacterized. NCBI's taxonomy places the organism in Eukaryota, Viridiplantae, Streptophyta, Magnoliopsida, Caryophyllales, Amaranthaceae. The transcript has 3 exons. The record is from RefSeq and is a predicted model, not a curated record.
UUGCAACCUCAAGUGCUAAGAAUAUAAUUCACAAGAAUCAGGGAGACCAUUGCAACCUUAAAUGCUAAGAAGACAACUCAGAAGAAGAGAAAGAGUGCAAUAAGACGAAAAAAGAAAGUGAAGGGAUAUGACCUAUCCCACCCAAAUGAGUUCUUGCCUGAGCUGAAAGAAGAAC